This 1003-nucleotide ribosomal RNA is filed under the name uncultured Lysobacterales bacterium. RNAcentral's name for it is "bacterial SSU rRNA". It matches the Rfam family "Bacterial small subunit ribosomal RNA", at positions 9 to 1001 of the family's 1533-position model. The record is from RNAcentral. Lineage: Bacteria; Pseudomonadati; Pseudomonadota; Gammaproteobacteria; Lysobacterales.
GAGUUUGAUCGUGGCUCAGAGUGAACGCUGGCGGUAGGCCUAACACAUGCAAGUCGAACGGUAACAGGUCUUUCGGGAUGCUGACGAGUGGCGGACGGGUGAGGAAUACAUCGGAAUCUGCUCAGUCGUGGGGGAUAACGCAUGGAAACGUGCGCUAAUACCGCAUACGACCUUCGGGUGAAAGCAGGGGAAUCUCUCGGGAUCCUUGCGCGAUUGAAUGAGCCGAUGUCGGAUUAGCUAGUUGGUAGGGUAAAAGCCUACCAAGGCCACGAUCCGUAGCUGGUCUGAGAGGAUGAUCAGCCACACUGGGACUGAGACACGGCCCAGACUCCUGCGGGAGGCAGCAGUGGGGAAUAUUGGACAAUGGGGGCAACCCUGAUCCAGCCAUACCGCGUGGGUGAAGAAGGCCUUCUGGGUUGUAAAGCCCUUUUGUUGGGGAAGAAAAACAACGGGUUAAUACCCCGUUGGUAUGACGGUACCCAAAGAAUAAGCACCGGCUAACUUCGUGCCAGCAGCCGCGGUAAUACGAAGGGUGCAAGCGUUACUCGGAAUUACUGGGCGUAAAGGGUGCGUAGGUGGUUGCGCCAGUCUGUCGUGAAAGCCCUGGGCUUAACCUGGGAAUGGCGAUGGAAACUGUGCAACUAGAGUGUGACAGAGGGUGGUGGAAUUCCUGGUGUAGCAGUGAAAUGCGUAGAGAUCAGGAGGAACAUUCGUGGCGAAGGCGGCCACCUGGGUCAACACUGACACUGAGGCACGAAAGCGUGGGGAGCAAACAGGAUUAGAUACCCUGGUAGUCCACGCCCUUAACGAUGCGAACUGGAUGUUGGGUCCAACUUGGGAUUCAGUAUCGAAGCUAACGCGUUAAGUUCGCCGCCUGGGGAGUACGGUCGCAAGACUGAAACUCAAAGGAAUUGACGGGGGCCCGCACAAGCGGUGGAGUAUGUGGUUUAAUUCGAUGCAACGCGCAGAACCCUACCUGGCCUUGACAUGCACGGAACCUUUG